This 468-nucleotide ribosomal RNA is filed under the name uncultured bacterium. RNAcentral's name for it is "partial 16S ribosomal RNA". It matches the Rfam family "Bacterial small subunit ribosomal RNA", at positions 28 to 507 of the family's 1533-position model. The record is from RNAcentral.
GACGAACGCUGGCGGCGCGCCUAACACGUGCAAGUCGAACGGAGCUACGAGAAGCUUGCUUUUCUUAGCUUAGCGGCGAACGGGUGAGUAACGCGUGAAUAACCUGCCCUGGAGUGGGGGACAACAGCGGGAAACGACUGCUAAUACCGCAUAAGCCCACGAACCGGCAUAGGCAUGAGGGAAAAGGAUUUAUUCGCUUUAGUAUGGACUGGCAGCCACUUAGUUAGUUGGUGGGGUAACGGCCCACCAAGGCGAGGAUAGGUACCCGGACAGUGAGGUUGGGCCGCGACAUUGGGAGUAGGACACAGCCGAGACUCCUGCGGGAGGCGGCAAAGGGUGAUAUAGCACAAUGGGGUGAGUCCUGAAGCAGCGCCGCCGCGUAGACGAAGAAGUUUUGCGAGAUGUAAACUCCUGUUGUUAGGGACGAUAAUGACGGUACCUAACAAGAAAGCACCGGCUAACUACGUG